Molecule: non-coding RNA, 1393 nt
Organism: Cherax quadricarinatus
Lineage: Eukaryota; Metazoa; Arthropoda; Malacostraca; Decapoda; Parastacidae
Source: RefSeq, a predicted model, not a curated record
UACCCCCCCCCCAUAAAACAGUGUUGUAGAAUCAUUUAUUUUCCAUGAACUUGACUCCAUGUUAUCGUACCAAACAGGGUGCAAUAAAUGACCAAGGCCUUGGCAUGGUGUCGUGGUGGACAAGUGGCGGUGCAGGACAGGAUCUGGAGGAGGAGGAAGAGGAAGAUGGCGAGGUAGAGGAACUGGAAGAGGCUGCAUGACCUUGGUAGAAGACUAAUAACGGACAAUUUUUUUUAGAACUAAGCAUCAUGCUUAUGUUUUUAGGGUGUGGAUAUGGAGAGGGCUUACAACUGAACUAUUUGUGAAGCUUCAGCUAACACUAUAAACCUGUGAUUUGAUUAUAAUAAUAUAAACCUGUGACUCUGGAAGAGCUUACAUAAACUGUUGCAAAAUGUUAGGGAGUAAAGUCUGAAGGGAAAUUAUUUUUAUACAGUGAGCUGAAUGAUGAGUAGGUUGUGAUAGUGAAGUGCACACUUUUGAGGUAAAUUUAAAAAAUUAAAGCUAAAUGAAAGGAGUACUUGGUUGACAGCUGAAAGGAUGCUGAUAUCUUUAGAACCUCCACUAUCCCAAGACCAAGUAUAAAUAGUAUCACAGUACUUAAAAUCAAUUGUAAUUUUAGGCAAGAAUAUCAGGAAGUGGGAAAGUUACCAUUAACAUUGUGAUGUUGCAUUGGUUGACUUUGCAAUAAAAUGGGAUAUAAAAGAUAAUUCAUUAACUGUAGUAAAUGUUCUUUCAAAAUUGUAUGGCUGCAGCAUUAAUAACAGGUGUGAGCUUUAUUUUUUCACAGCUGAUUAAUGCAGUAAUUGUGUGGUCACUUACCAUACCUUCUUUCCUUUUGUUUUGAGGUACAUUAUUUUGUGUGAAUGAUAGCCUGUUGAAAGGUUUCAGUGAAAUGUUGAUAUAGACUUACGCUUACUGAACACACUAUUUUAUAUUUGCUUUUUGAUAAUACAUUUGGAUUUAAAUUAAAUGUAAAAUAUAUUUGAUGAUUUUUGCUGUGCCAGUUGGAUAGUGAGGUAAUAUUUGUAUUUAGAGAACAGGCAAGGAGGAAAAAUAUAUUUGUUAGCUUCUGGCAGUUUAUAACAUACUACAACAGUGUUAAGAGAUUGACCGAACACGGACACCCCUCACUACUUUUACAAACAGUACUACUUAAGACAUGCACAAGAGCCUAUUGACUAGGUUUUUAUGGAUUCAAAUUUUGGUAUGUACUUAUGAAGAGUUAUCAAUUAGUAUAAUAGUUUAGCUACUGAAUUGACAUUUUGUUUUUAACUUAGGAUGUAAUUGUAAGGGAGAUGUUUAUAUCAAAGCUGUGAUAUUAAUUAGUUUGUAGCAUUCAUACAAACUUUUAAUAUUUAUCAAAUACAUUCAUCAAAUAAAAUAUUUUGUUUCA